Molecule: non-coding RNA, 112 nt
Filed under: Nomascus leucogenys (northern white-cheeked gibbon)
Lineage: Eukaryota; Metazoa; Chordata; Mammalia; Primates; Hylobatidae
Source: RNAcentral
GGCUGGUUUGAAGGUGGUUGUGACUCCUCUCCAUUGAUUUUUCAUAGUUACAGAUCGAACUCCUUGUUCUGCUCUUUCCCUUCUUAUCAGUGCUACAGUUGACUAGUUUAAA